RNAcentral lists this ribosomal RNA (255 nucleotides) under uncultured Oceanospirillaceae bacterium. RNAcentral's name for it is "partial 16S ribosomal RNA". It matches the Rfam family "Bacterial small subunit ribosomal RNA", at positions 60 to 311 of the family's 1533-position model. The record is from RNAcentral. Lineage: Bacteria; Pseudomonadati; Pseudomonadota; Gammaproteobacteria; Oceanospirillales; Oceanospirillaceae.
AGUCGAGCGGUAACAGGAAUUAGCUUGCUAAUUUGCUGACGAGCGGCGGACGGGUGAGUAACGCGUAGGAAUCUGCCUGGUAGUGGGGGACAACAUGUGGAAACGCAUGCUAAUACCGCAUACGCCCUACGGGGGAAAGGAGGGGAUCUUCGGACCUUUCGCUAUCAGAUGAGCCUGCGUGAGAUUAGCUAGUUGGUGGGGUAAAGGCUCACCAAGGCGACGAUCUCUAGCUGGUCUGAGAGGAUGAUCAGCCAC